UUUUCUGAAAUUCUCGGUAAUAAUGCACAGUUUAGGUUUUGCAUUUUAAAGAAAUAUCAAACGAAGUUGAAAUGACUUGAAAUUUUACCAGGGUACUCAAGACUCAUGUAGGGACUUGCUAUAAAAGUUUCAAAGAUAUUUGACAUCGACAAACCGUCGAUCACAGUAGGUCAGUAAGGCCUACGAAAUUUCUCCAAAAUCUCAUCUCAAACUCUUUAUAUGCUCAACCACAUCAAAACGAUCGAGCGAUUCAAAAAAAUAUACUCAACCUCGACUCUUCUCAGCUCAUAUCAUUCUCGAACAUCAACUCAAAGCAAAAGCAAAUCUCACUUUAACUCAAUUAAAUUCCCAUGGCAAACCAUAGCCAAUAUCC
This 373-nucleotide long non-coding RNA is filed under the name Salvia miltiorrhiza (redroot sage). Its description in RNAcentral is "long non-coding RNA (SMIL_LNC014331)". The record is from RNAcentral. Lineage: Eukaryota; Viridiplantae; Streptophyta; Magnoliopsida; Lamiales; Lamiaceae.